CUCAGCCGCUCUCCUCCUCUAUCGCGUCUGACCAGCACGACAGCUUGUGCUCAAGCGCCGCCUGAGGAUCGAUGCCGGCAUCAGCCACGUCGAGGAGGUCGUGGAGCCCCUUGAGCCCGCGCUUGCCCUUGCCUACGCCCAGCAGUGGAACAGAGGCUCGGCCUGUCCGGCUACGUGUACCCACCUCCUCCUCUGUCGACCUUGUCAUCGAUGAGGAUACGCUAAGCGUCGUCUCGAUGUCUGUUGCUGGUGAUGGCCACCGUCUAACGUCCUACAACCACGCACGUGCUCAUCUACGACGGCACUGUCACCACGGUGAGUGGAACAACGACAUAAGCAGUCGCAGACUCGCAGUCGAAGGCAGUUGCAGAUAGCAGCAACUUUAGUGAUGCUCAUAAGCUGCUCGAGGCAUUACCUGCAAGAUUGCAUACCUUACCCUGAUGAAAGAUUCUGAAAGAUUGGAUCUUCUUGAAGAGAUUGGUGGUACAUAUGUUUACGAGGAUAGAUGGGAUGAGACCUUGAAAAUAGUUACCGAAACAGGUAGUUUGAAACUUUGAAUCACCAUAAAUAAUGACCGAAACAGUGAACAAAAAGGAAGCAGAUUGAUCAAGUUGUCUAUUACUUGGAGGAAAGAUUGAGAGAAAUCGGUGGAGAAAAGAAGUGCUAACAGCUGGACAAACAGAGAAGAUCACUUAAGUAUGCUAUAUUGGACCAUGAUACGUCUCUCCUCCAUGCACUCCUCAUUUCAUUAAAUUGCUUGUUGUGGCUGGCGCAUGGAUGGUGUUCGAUGAAAUGAUAUGUGCUUUUCUA
This is a long non-coding RNA of Zea mays, 810 nucleotides long. RefSeq lists it as uncharacterized. The transcript has 4 exons. Lineage: Eukaryota; Viridiplantae; Streptophyta; Magnoliopsida; Poales; Poaceae. The record is from RefSeq and is a predicted model, not a curated record.